AUUGAACGCUGGCGGGCAGGCUAACACAUGCAAGUCGAGCGGCAGCGACUUAACUGAACCUUCGGGGAACGUUAAGGGCGGCGAGCGGCGGACGGGUGAGUAAUGCCUGGGAAUAUGCCCUGAUGUGGGGGAUAACUAUUGGAAACGAUAGCUAAUACCGCAUAAUCUCUUCGGAGCAAAGAGGGGGACCUUCGGGCCUCUCGCGUCAGGAUUAGCCCAGGUGGGAUUAGCUUGUUGGUGAGGUAAUGGCUCACCAAGGCAACGAUCCCUAGCUGGUCUGAGAGGAUGAUCAGCCACACUGGAACUGAGACACGGUCCAGACUCCUACGGGAGGCAGCAGUGGGGAAUAUUGCACAAUGGGGGAAACCCUGAUGCAGCCAUGCCGCGUGUGUGAAGAAGGCCUUCGGGUUGUAAAGCACUUUCAGUAGGGAGGAAGGUAGUGUAGUUAACACCUGCAUUAUUUGACGUUACCUACAGAAGAAGCACCGGCUAACUCCGUGCCAGCAGCCGCGGUAAUACGGAGGGUGCGAGCGUUAAUCGGAAUUACUGGGCGUAAAGCGCAUGCAGGCGGCCUGUUAAGUCAGAUGUGAAAGCCCGGGGCUUAACCUCGGAAUUGCAUUUGAAACUGGCAGGCUAGAGUCUUGUAGAGGGGGGUAGAAUUUCAGGUGUAGCGGUGAAAUGCGUAGAGAUCUGAAGGAAUACCAGUGGCGAAGGCGGCCCCCUGGACAAAGACUGACGCUCAGAUGCGAAAGCGUGGGGAGCAAACAGG
Molecule: ribosomal RNA, 769 nt
Filed under: uncultured bacterium
Lineage: Bacteria
Description: bacterial SSU rRNA
Rfam family: Bacterial small subunit ribosomal RNA
Source: RNAcentral